Molecule: non-coding RNA, 390 nt
Organism: Xiphophorus hellerii (green swordtail)
Lineage: Eukaryota; Metazoa; Chordata; Actinopteri; Cyprinodontiformes; Poeciliidae
Source: the annotation of a RefSeq genome assembly
GUUAAAGAAGCUACCUUCUCAUUGGUACCUUCACAUAGCAACAUGUUCUCUCUAACUCUCCUGCUGCUGCUUUUUGCUGGAUCCUAUGUGAUGUGUGAGCAGCUGCAACAGCCAGACUCUUUAACUGUGCAGCCAGGUCAGCGUCUGACCGUCAGCUGUCAGGUCUCUUAUUCAGUUGGCAGCUACUACACAGCUUGGAUCAGACAGCCUGCUGGGAAAGGACUGGAGUGGAUUGGGAGCAAAUAUACAGGAGAUUCAUACUACAAAAAAUCACUGGAGAACAAGUUCAGUAUUGCCUUAGAUGCUUCCAGUAACACAGUGACUCUGAAUGGACAGAAUAUGCAGCCUGAAGACUCUGCUGUGUAUUACUGUGCCAGAGAGCCACAGUAA